GACGAACGCUGGCGGCGUGCCUAAUACAUGCAAGUAGAACGCUGAAGAGAGGAGCUUGCUCUUCUUGGAUGAGUUGCGAACGGGUGAGUAACGCGUAGGUAACCUGCCUUGUAGCGGGGGAUAACUAUUGGAAACGAUAGCUAAUACCGCAUAACAAUGGAUGACACAUGUCAUUUAUUUGAAAGGGGCAAUUGCUCCACUACAAGAUGGACCUGCGUUGUAUUAGCUAGUAGGUGAGGUAACGGCUCACCUAGGCGACGAUACAUAGCCGACCUGAGAGGGUGAUCGGCCACACUGGGACUGAGACACGGCUCAGACUCCUACGGGAGGCAGCAGUAGGGAAUCUUCGGCAAUGGGGGCAACCCUGACCGAGCAACGCCGCGUGAGUGAAGAAGGUUUUCGGAUCGUAAAGCUCUGUUGUAAGUCAAGAACGAGUGUGAGAGUGGAAAAUUCACACUGUGACGGUAGCUUACCAGAAAGGGACGGCUAACUACGUGCCAGCAGCCGCGGUAAUACGUAGGUCCCGAGCGUUGUCCGGAUUUAUUGGGCGUAAAGCGAGCGCAGGCGGUUUGAUAAGUCUGAAGUUAAAGGCUGUGGCUCAACCAUAGUUCGCUUUGGAAACUGUCAAACUUGAGUGCAGAAGGGGAGAGUGGAAUUCCAUGUGUAGCGGUGAAAUGCGUAGAUAUAUGGAGGAACACCGGUGGCGAAAGCGGCUCUCUGGUCUGUAACUGACGCUGAGGCUCGAAAGCGUGGGGAGCGAACAGGAUUAGAUACCCUGGUAGUCCACGCCGUAAACGAUGAGUGCUAGGUGUUGGAUCCUUUCCGGGAUUCAGUGCCGCAGCUAACGCAUUAAGCACUCCGCCUGGGGAGUACGACCGCAAGGUUAAAACUCAAAGGAAUUGACGGGGGCCCGCACAAGCGGUGGAGCAUGUGGUUUAAUUCGAAGCAACGCGAAGAACCUUACCAGGUCUUGACAUCCCGAUGCUAUUUCUAGAGAUAGAAAGUUACUUCGGUACAUCGGUGACAGGUGGUGCAUGGUUGUCGUCAGCUCGUGUCGUGAGAUGUUGGGUUAAGUCCCGCAACGUGCGCAACCCCUAUUGUUAGUUGCCAUCAUUCAGUUGGGCACUCUAGCGAGACUGCCGGUAAUAAACCGGAGGAAGGUGGGGAUGACGUCAAAUCAUCAUGCCCCUUAUGACCUGGGCUACACACGUGCUACAAUGGUUGGUACAACGAGUUGCGAGUCGGUGACGGCAAGCUAAUCUCUUAAAGCCAAUCUCAGUUCGGAUUGUAGGCUGCAACUCGCCUACAUGAAGUCGGAAUCGCUAGUAAUCGCGGAUCAGCACGCCGCGGUGAAUACGUUCCCGGGCCU
RNAcentral lists this ribosomal RNA (1369 nucleotides) under uncultured bacterium. Its description in RNAcentral is "bacterial SSU rRNA". It matches the Rfam family "Bacterial small subunit ribosomal RNA", at positions 28 to 1381 of the family's 1533-position model. The record is from RNAcentral.